This 614-nucleotide ribosomal RNA is filed under the name Colacogloea diffluens. Its description in RNAcentral is "eukaryotic LSU rRNA". The stretch from base 181 to 334 matches the Rfam family "5.8S ribosomal RNA". The record is from RNAcentral. Lineage: Eukaryota; Fungi; Basidiomycota; Microbotryomycetes; Colacogloeaceae.
UCCGUAGGUGAACCUGCGGAAGGAUCAUUAAUGAAUUUAAGAGCUUCUAAUUUAACAUUAGAGCUCGCUCCUUCAUUUCCAACCCUGUGAACAUAAUUUUGAAUUGGUGAACUAACGUUUGCCAAUUCGCCCAUUACAAACUCUACAAGUUUAAGAAUGUAACAAAUACAAAACAAAAAAAACUUUCAACAACGGAUCUCUUGGGUCUCGCAUCGAUGAAGAACGCAGCGAAAUGUGAUAAGUAAUGUGAAUUGCAGAAUUCAGUGAAUCAUCGAAUCUUUGAACGCAUCUUGCGCUCUCUGGUAUUCCGGAGAGCAUGCCUGUUUGAGUGUCAUGAACUCUUCAACCCUUCAGUUCCUUGUGAACUGUCAAGGUGUUUGGAUUUUGAAUGUUGCUGGUCCUUGCGGACGUAGCUCAUUCGUAAUACAUUAGCAACUCAAUUUCGUACAUUCGGAUUGACUCGGGGUAAUAGACUUAUUCGCUGAGGACACUUUUACUAGUGGGCGAAUUUCGAGGUAGUAGCUUCUAACUUGAUCUCUAAGUCAAAUUUUAAGAUUAGACCUCAAAUCAGGGAGGAUUACCCGCUGAACUUAAGCAUAUCAAUAAGCGGAGGA